AUUGAACGCUGGCGGCAUGCUUUACACAUGCAAGUCGAACGGCAGCACGGAGAGCUUGCUCUCUGGUGGCGAGUGGCGAACGGGUGAGUAAUAUAUCGGAACGUGUCCAAUAAUGGGGGAUAACUAGUCGAAAGAUUAGCUAAUACCGCAUACGCCCUGAGGGGGAAAGUGGGGGAUCUUCGGACCUCACGUUAAUGGAGCGGCCGAUAUCUGAUUAGCUAGUUGGUAGGGUAAAAGCCUACCAAGGCGACGAUCAGUAGCUGGUCUGAGAGGAUGAUCAGCCACACUGGGACUGAGACACGGCCCAGACUCCUACGGGAGGCAGCAGUGGGGAAUUUUGGACAAUGGGCGCAAGCCUGAUCCAGCCAUGCCGCGUGAGUGAAGAAGGCCUUCGGGUUGUAAAGCUCUUUCGCAAGGAAAGAAAACUUACAUGUAAAUAAUGUGUGAGGUUGACGGUAC
Molecule: ribosomal RNA, 459 nt
Filed under: uncultured bacterium
Lineage: Bacteria
Description: bacterial SSU rRNA
Rfam family: Bacterial small subunit ribosomal RNA
Source: RNAcentral